AGAGUUUGAUCCUGGCUCAGGAUGAACGCUGGCGGCGUGCCUAACACAUGCAAGUCGAACGGAUCUGUAUUGAAACCUAGUGAUAUACAGGUUAGUGGCGGACGGGUGAGUAACGCGUGGAUAACCUGCCGUAUACCGGGGGAUAACACUUAGAAAUAGGUGCUAAUACCGCAUGAGCGCACAGCUCCGCAUGGAGCGGUGUGAAAAACUCCGGUGGUAUACGAUGGAUCCGCGUCUGAUUAGCCAGUUGGCGGGGUAACGGCCCACCAAAGCGACGAUCAGUAGCCGGCCUGAGAGGGUGAACGGCCACAUUGGGACUGAGACACGGCCCAGACUCCUACGGGAGGCAGCAGUGGGGAAUAUUGCACAAUGGGGGAAACCCUGAUGCAGCGACGCCGCGUGAGUGAAGAAGUAUCUCGGUAUGUAAAGCUCUAUCAGCAGGAAAGAUAAUGACGGUACCUGACUAAGAAGCCCCGGCUAACUACGUG
Molecule: ribosomal RNA, 488 nt
Filed under: uncultured Lachnospiraceae bacterium
Lineage: Bacteria; Bacillati; Bacillota; Clostridia; Lachnospirales; Lachnospiraceae
Description: bacterial SSU rRNA
Rfam family: Bacterial small subunit ribosomal RNA
Source: RNAcentral